Molecule: long non-coding RNA, 1509 nt
Organism: Rosa rugosa (rugosa rose)
Lineage: Eukaryota; Viridiplantae; Streptophyta; Magnoliopsida; Rosales; Rosaceae
Exons: 3
Source: RefSeq, a predicted model, not a curated record
UCAGUGUUGGCGACCCGUUUCUCGGACUAGCGACCCACCAAGGAGACCAGAUGGUAUCUCCUCCGUCCGGCCACUUCUCGGUGGCGCACCACCUACAUUAGGACCGCCUCGAUGUCGCGACCAAACCUGUGGCCUGGGUUUCCACCGACGGGCUCCGACGAAGUCAAUUCGAAGCCGUCUUUGGUUCCGAAGGUUUUCUUGUGUUUUCCGGCGACUCCGGUCGCCGAUGAUGACAUGCAAGGUAAGGAAGUUAGUCUUCUCGUUGAGCUCUACGUUCUGGUAUAACUAUUUUUCGAUUUCGAUUGAGUUUUGAGAAUUGAUGUUUCGGGAUUCGUCGACCUUUUACCGAGGUACUGGUCACGGCGGCUUUUCUGCACUUGCCGGCUUUUUCGAUCAUUGUUGGUGGUAAACUAGUUAGAGACUAGUGGAGUUGUGUCAUAAUUGGAACGAGGAUGAAUUGGAAUUUGGUUUGUUCCGGCUGUUCUGCAUGGAGGUAUUAUGCCAUUAUGGUGAAGAAUAAAGAUGAAGGAGCGAAUGAGCUGAUCGAGUAAAGGGCAUUGCAGUGGCUCUGUACCGUGUUGAGUUUGAGAAGCUUGGUUCAUGAAUGAUUCCUAUGAACUAUGAUCAAAGGACUCCAGUUACCCGGAAUGCGAGUUUACUCGGAAAACAAGCUAUGGUGGUGUUGGCCUAGAAAAGAAAAUGAAGUCAAAGUUGCAAUAUAUUCCAGGUAGGGGAUUAUGGACUCGCCUCAGUAAUUUUUAUGCAUAUAUAUUAAGGAAAUUAAUGAUGCAUGAAAAAGAAUUUGGUUUUUAUUUCAUUUUCUAUGAGUUAUUAUUUGAUGACUUGAGAGUGAGAGGAGCAUAGCGACUUCCUUGGGCUUCGAUCCCCUAAACCUCCGGAGGGGCUGUAUGGACUGAAGAGUGUCUGACAUCCGUUGAGGUGUGGCACUGCUUCUAGGUGAUACGGCGUAAGUGGACACUCUUGCUACACCUUACCGGUGUAAACGAUAUUAAUCAUGGUAAGGUUGUAGGCAUAGCGAUCGGUCAUCAGGUCUGUUUCAUUCCUUUGGGCCCUACUAUAUUUUUAUAAACGAACUACGGUUUGUGGUUUCGAACAUUUUUAUCAUAUGCAUCGUUUUUCACUUACUUUGCCGGCACCUAUAUUUUAAAUUAUUUUCGCACCUAGCUAGGGUAGAGUCUUAUUGAGCAACGAGGACGAAAGCUCACCCCUACAAUAGUUUGUGGAUGCAGGUACUGUGUACGAAGACGGGACAGUUGGACAAUGCUAAAUGUGGCUUAAUUACCCUGUACUUCAAUUGUGUCAUCGACGGAGUUAGAUCCGUGUGACAGGUCUUAUUUCCUCUAUUCUCGCAAAACUUGUUUAUCGAGUUUAUGAUUGUUUGUAAAAUACUUCUUUUGUAUAUUUCUCGGACUUUGGCAGUGGACUGGACAAACAUUCGAUAAUUGUUUUGAAAUGACUUGUAUUUGUUUUCUUUAAAGGAUUUUAGAU